Molecule: ribosomal RNA, 251 nt
Filed under: uncultured bacterium
Lineage: Bacteria
Description: partial 16S ribosomal RNA
Rfam family: Bacterial small subunit ribosomal RNA
Source: RNAcentral
UACGUAGGGGGCGAGCGUUGUCCGGAAUCACUGGGCGUAAAGGGCGCGUAGGCGGUAAUAUAAGUCAGAUGUGAAAGGUGGGGGCUCAACCCCUAGAGUGCAACUGAUACUGUAUAACUUGAGUGUGAGAGAGGGAAGCGGAAUUCCUAGUGUAGCGGUGAAAUGCGUAGAUAUUAGGAGGAACACCAGUGGCGAAGGCGGCUUUCUGGCUCAUAACUGACGCUGAGGCGCGAAAGCGUGGGGAGCAAACA